This 74-nucleotide transfer RNA is filed under the name Oscillospiraceae bacterium. RNAcentral describes it as "tRNA-Arg". It matches the Rfam family "tRNA". From Rfam's summary of the family: Transfer RNA (tRNA) molecules are approximately 80 nucleotides in length. Lineage: Bacteria; Bacillati; Bacillota; Clostridia; Eubacteriales; Oscillospiraceae. The record is from RNAcentral.
GCCCACGUAGCUCAGCAGGAUAGAGCGAUCGCCUCCUAAGCGAUAGGUCGGAGGUUCGAAUCCCCUCGUGGGUG